CCGCACAAGCGGAGGAGCAUGUGGUUUAAUUCGAUGAUACGCGAGGAACCUUACCUGGGCUCGAACGUAAGAUGACUGUAGGUGAAAGCUUGCAUCUCUUCGGAGCAUUUUACGAGGUGCUGCAUGGUUGUCGUCAGCUCGUGUCGUGAGAUGUUGGGUUAAGUCCCGCAACGAGCGCAACCCUUGCCUUUAGUUGCCAGCAGUUCGGCUGGGCACUCUAAAGGGACUGCCGGUGUUAAACCGGAGGAAGGUGGGGAUGACGUCAAGUCCUCAUGGCCUUUAUGACCAGGGCUACACACGUACUACAAUGGCCGAUACAAAGGGCAGCGACACUGCGAGGUGAAGCCAAUCCCGUAAAAUCGGUCUCAGUCCGGAUUGGAGUCUGCAACUCGACUCCAUGAAGUUGGAAUCGCUAGUAAUCGUGGAUCAGCAUGCCACGGUGAAUACGUUCCCGGGCCUU
This 460-nucleotide ribosomal RNA is filed under the name uncultured Desulfobulbus sp. RNAcentral's name for it is "bacterial SSU rRNA". It matches the Rfam family "Bacterial small subunit ribosomal RNA", at positions 921 to 1382 of the family's 1533-position model. Lineage: Bacteria; Pseudomonadati; Thermodesulfobacteriota; Desulfobulbia; Desulfobulbales; Desulfobulbaceae. The record is from RNAcentral.